This is a small nuclear RNA of Hemiscyllium ocellatum (epaulette shark), 105 nucleotides long. NCBI's taxonomy places the organism in Eukaryota, Metazoa, Chordata, Chondrichthyes, Orectolobiformes, Hemiscylliidae. The record is from RefSeq and is a predicted model, not a curated record.
UUCUGGAAGGAAGAAACUGAUAAAUAGUAAAAUUGGAAUGGCGAAGAGAAGAUUAGCAUGGCUCCUACGCAAGGACAACAUAUCAUUUUAAAACAAGAAUAUUUU